GAGGGAACGGAACUGAGGACCGAU
Molecule: non-coding RNA, 24 nt
Filed under: Cricetulus griseus (Chinese hamster)
Lineage: Eukaryota; Metazoa; Chordata; Mammalia; Rodentia; Cricetidae
Source: RNAcentral